GGCUGGCCCGAAGGUAGUGAGUUAUCUCAACUGAUUUUUCACAGUCAGGAGUUUGAUCUGAAACCCCUUGUUCUACUUUCUCCCCUUCUCACUACUAUGCUUGACUAGUCUUAA
This is an unclassified non-coding RNA of Cercocebus atys (sooty mangabey), 114 nucleotides long. It matches the Rfam family "Y RNA". Rfam says of the family: Y RNAs are components of the Ro ribonucleoprotein particle (Ro RNP), in association with Ro60 and La proteins. The Y RNAs and Ro60 and La proteins are well conserved, but the function of the Ro RNP is not known. The record is from Ensembl. NCBI's taxonomy places the organism in Eukaryota, Metazoa, Chordata, Mammalia, Primates, Cercopithecidae.